RNAcentral lists this ribosomal RNA (446 nucleotides) under uncultured bacterium. RNAcentral describes it as "bacterial SSU rRNA". It matches the Rfam family "Bacterial small subunit ribosomal RNA", at positions 217 to 662 of the family's 1533-position model. The record is from RNAcentral.
GGUAUGGGAUGAGCUUGCGUCCGAUUAGCUAGUUGGCGGGGCAACGGCCCACCAAGGCGACGAUCGGUAGCCGGCCUGAGAGGGUGAUCGGCCACAUUGGGACUGAGAUACGGCCCAGACUCCUACGGGAGGCAGCAGUAGGGAAUAUUGCACAAUGGGGGGAACCCUGAUGCAGCAACGCCACGUGUGGGAAGAAGCAUUUCGGUGUGUAAACCACUGUCAUGAGGGAAUAAGGCCUAUUUUCGGAUAGGAUUGAAUGUACCUUGAGAGGAAGCACCGGCAAACUUCGUGCCAGCAGCCGCGGUAAUACGAGGGGUGCAAGCGUUGUUCGGAAUUACUGGGCGUAAAGGGAGCGUAGGCGGAGGUUCAAGCGGAUUGUACAAUCCCGGGGCCCAACCCCGGCUCUGCAGUCCGAACUGGAUCUCUUGGAUAGUUCAGGGGCAGGC